This 279-nucleotide ribosomal RNA is filed under the name uncultured bacterium. RNAcentral's name for it is "partial 16S ribosomal RNA". It matches the Rfam family "Bacterial small subunit ribosomal RNA", at positions 506 to 784 of the family's 1533-position model. The record is from RNAcentral.
UGCCAGCCGCCGCGGUAAGACGAAGGUGGCGAACGUUGCUCGGAAUUACUGGGCAUAAAGCGCGCGCAGGUGGCUUGGUAAGCGGAGAAUGAAAUCCCAUGGCUCACCCAUGGAACUGUUCUCCGAACUGCCUUGCUUGAGGGCGGGAGGGGGAAGUGGAAUUCCUGGUGUAGCGGUGAAAUGCGUAGAUAUCAGGAGGAACGCCGGUGGCGAAAGCGACUAACUGGACUGAUACUGACGCUGAGGUGCGAAAGUGUGGGGAGCAAACAGGAUUAGAUA